Molecule: long non-coding RNA, 1299 nt
Filed under: Homo sapiens (human)
Lineage: Eukaryota; Metazoa; Chordata; Mammalia; Primates; Hominidae
Description: non-protein coding LINC00486:14
Source: RNAcentral
CUGUGCUCAAGUUCUUCAGGAGCACCUCACUGUCUCCCUCUGCCCACCCACCUGCACCUGACAGCUGUGGGCUGUGCUCUCAGGGAGGCACCGUCAGAUGCUACCAGACUACAGAGGAGAGCACCCUCAAUCCUGACUGAAGGUUUGGGAAAAGGCUGCUCAGAAGAGGUGAUACUUGAUAUGGGCCCUGGAGGAGGAGAAGCAGUUUGAGAAGACAGCAGUGAGAGAUGGCAUCCGGGCAGGCGAGAAAUGUCAGUGGUCAUGGAGGCAGCAUGAAGGGACUGUUGGCUGCAGAAACCUGGCAAGGCUCUUAGAGACAGAGACGAAGAGGGAGAUGGGGCUGGAGAUGGAGAUGAUAGAGACAGAAAGAUUGAAGAUGGCAGAGUGGGGGCUAUGGGGAAGGGUGAUGAAGCAGGAAAGAUAGAUCGAACGAGACUGCGAGGAGCCUGUGUGCCUGGGCUUUAUUUUGGAGGCAAUGAGAAACAGAAAGUGUUUUUGAGCAUGAUGGGACAAUGAGGAGUUCUGUGGUUUAGGAAACCCAGCAGUCACGGGAAGUGCAGAUUCAAAGUAAGAAAACGUCCCAGGGUUUGGUGAUGAUCUUGGUGGGAAGUGACACAGGGGUAGUGGGGAUGGAAUUGAAAGAAAGGAUGAACUUCCAGAGUAUGGCUGUGCUCAGUAGACAGGAAUCAGGGAGGGCAGGAGGAGAGUAAAAGGGUCCUCUGAGCUUAAAUCCAGAUGUUGAGGAGAUGGUGGUACUAUCAAUGGAGGUGGAGCUCUUAAGAGGAAGAAAGAUGGGAAAGAAAAGGAUGAGGUUUUUGACAAGUUGAAUAUGGGGUGAGCAUGGGUCCAACUGAAAGCAGUGGAAAUAUAGACGUGAAAAAUAGAUGCGGUAGAGUUGAAAAGUUGGGGAUAAUUUUCACCUGAAUGUUACCUAAGGCAAAGGGAAGAGAGGUCAUCCAGGACAAAAGUACAGAAUGAAAAGAAAAAGCAACUAAGCACGAAAUCUUGGAGAAUGUCCUCAUUGAAGGGUCCUGAGCACCAAGGGUACAGUCAGAAAUGAUGAAUCCAGAAAUGAUGCCCUCCAGAACUUCUGGUGAGGAAGGCACUCAGGAAAAUGCAGCACCCUAUGGAGGCCCAGAAAGGAGGGCAUUCAGGAAGAACACAGUCUGAUGGUGUCAAGUGCAGCGGAGGCUAAGAGAUACUGUUAUAUGUGCUCAUGUAAAUUGUCUGGCAAUUAGCUGCAAGAGGAUUGUAGGAAGAGAUUCUACCUAUCCAUCUCUUUACACCAUGCCUUCUGAA